CGUCUAUAUACGUAUAGCAUAUCAAUAAGCGGAGGAAAAGAAACUAACAAGGAUUCCCUUAGUAACGGCGAGUGAAGCGGGAAGAGCUCAAAUUUGAAAUCUUCAAGGUUCUACCUUGACGAAUUGUAGUUUAAAGAAGUGUUUUCUGUUAGAGGAGUAGGCAAAAGUUCCUUGGAAUAGGACAUCAUAGAGGGUGAGAAUCCCGUAUUUGGUUAUUCUUUCUAGCUGUGUGAUACACUUUCAAAGAGUCGGAUUGUUUGGGAAUGCAGUCCAAAAUGGGUGGUAAAUUUCAUCUAAAGCUAAAUAUUGGCGAGAGACCGAUAGCGAACAAGUACCGUGAGGGAAAGAUGAAAAGAACUUUGAAAAGAGAGUUAAACAGUACGUGAAAUUGUCAAAAGGGAAGCGUUUGACACCAGUGUUGUUUUUCCGAAAAUCAAUUAAGAAGUGGCUUGAUUUUGUGUUGUAUUGACCUUAUCAGCUUUCUUCACUCUUUUUCGAGUCUUUCUUAAUGCACUUUUCGGUUAACAAGUCAACAUCAAUUUCUUUUGUUGUAAAAGGGUAUUUGGAAGGUGGCUUUCUUUUCGGAGAAAGUGUUUAUAGCCUUAUACCUCUACAAUCGGAGAGAUUGAGGUCUGCAGCGUAGAUCCUUCGGGGCUAGAUACACUUGUGCUAAGUUAUAGCUUUUCAUAGACAACUUGUUGACUAUGUUUAGUCAUGUAGCUUACUCCGCUUAUGCUAUUUUACCUACGCUUAGGAUGUUGAGUCAUCACACAUCUCU
Molecule: ribosomal RNA, 778 nt
Filed under: uncultured Neocallimastigales
Lineage: Eukaryota; Fungi; Neocallimastigomycota; Neocallimastigomycetes; Neocallimastigales
Description: partial large subunit ribosomal RNA
Rfam family: Eukaryotic large subunit ribosomal RNA
Source: RNAcentral